RNAcentral lists this ribosomal RNA (476 nucleotides) under uncultured fungus. Its description in RNAcentral is "eukaryotic LSU rRNA". The stretch from base 170 to 323 matches the Rfam family "5.8S ribosomal RNA". Lineage: Eukaryota; Fungi. The record is from RNAcentral.
CAUUAAAGAAUCGCCCCGUUUUUUGAAAUGGGUUCUAUUCCCAAACCGUGUAUACAUUCCUUUGUUGCUUUGGCAGGCCGUCUUUUAGGCGUUGGCUCCGGCUGACUGCGCCUGCCAGAGGACCCAAACUCUUUUGUUUAGUGAUGUCUGAGUACUAUAUAAUAGUUAAAACUUUCAACAACGGAUCUCUUGGUUCUGGCAUCGAUGAAGAACGCAGCGAAAUGCGAUAAGUAAUGUGAAUUGCAGAAUUCAGUGAAUCAUCGAAUCUUUGAACGCACAUUGCGCCCCUUGGUAUUCCGAGGGGCAUGCCUGUUCGAGCGUCAUUAUAACCACUCAAGCCCUCGGCUUGGUCUUGGGGUUCGCGGUUUCGCGGCCCUUAAAAUCAGUGGCGGUGCCGUCUGGCUCUAAGCGUAGUAAUCCUCUCGCUAUAGGGUCCAGGUAACCACCUGUCAGAACCCCCCCAUUCUUUAUGGUUG